GUGCUCGCUUCAGCAGCAUGUAUACUAAAACUGGGACGAUACAGAGAAGAUUAGCAUGGCCUCCACACAAAGAUGACACACAAAUUCGUGAAGCAUUCCAUAAAAAG
This is a small nuclear RNA of Pipistrellus kuhlii (Kuhl's pipistrelle), 107 nucleotides long. Lineage: Eukaryota; Metazoa; Chordata; Mammalia; Chiroptera; Vespertilionidae. The record is from RefSeq and is a predicted model, not a curated record.